GUUGCUCAGGCGCUCUCGGGCUCUGUUGUUAAACUGGAUUGUUUAUCAAUUGGAAGAUCGAUGGAUUGUUCCCUGAUUCCCCCAGAUUCCUCCCGAGUUGCCCCCAAUGGAUCCAUCAGAGUGUGUAAUAUCCAUCCAUCCAUUCGCUUCCGCUUAUCCUUUUCAGGGUCGCGGGGGGCGCUGGAGCCUAUCCCAGGUGUCAUAGGGCGAGAGGCAGGGUACACCCUGGACAGGUCGCCAGUCUGUCGCAGGGCCAACACACAGGGACAGACAACCAUUCGCACUCACAUUCAUUCGCACAUUCACACCUAGUGACAAUUUGGAUUAUCCAAUUAACCUAUCCCCACAAGUUGCAUGUCUUUGGACGGUGGGAGGAAGCCAGAGUACCCGGAGGAAACCCACGCAAACACGGGGAGAACAUGCAACCUCCACACAGAAAUGAUGGAAUUGAACUCAGGACCUUCUUGCUGUGCGGCAACAGUGCUAACCACCGUGCCACCGUUCUGCCCUAGUGUGUAAUAUUAAUAUUUAUUUAUUUAUUUAUUUUUUUAUUAUGUUGCUCUUUGUUGUUUGCUUUCUCUUCUCUUUUUUUUUUUUUUUUUCUCCAUACAGGUGACCCAGACUGGUACUUUUAAAUGGACUGGUACUCACAUAGUGGCUUUCUACUCAAUUUGAGCACUCAAAACACUUUGUACUCAUCUCAUUCACUCAGUCAUACACACAGAGUGUUUUUACCUUUUUUUUUUUUUUUUUAGUGUGUAAUAUUAAAAAGGUAAAAACACAAGUACCAGUCCGGCAUUUUUGUUAGUGGGUCUGAGGCGAGGCCCACUAACAAAAUUGUGAAGAAUGCUGAUAGAAUAAAAUAGAAUAGAAUAGAAUAAUAAUUUAUUGUGAGUCUCAUCCAGGACAUCAAUGAAUAAGUUAGCAGGUGAACCAACUGGAGAACUGUAAUAACACCUUAACACUAAAUACUGAAUAAAAAAAGGAGAUCAGCAUGAGCCAGCACAGUCACAUAUCACUUCUUUUCAACAACACCACAGUGAAGAUGGCCAGCAGCACGAAACUCCUGGGCGUACAGAUAGACCUGUCCUGUUCACUGCACAGUGGAGCUCUU
Molecule: long non-coding RNA, 1114 nt
Organism: Astatotilapia calliptera (eastern happy)
Lineage: Eukaryota; Metazoa; Chordata; Actinopteri; Cichliformes; Cichlidae
Source: Ensembl